Long non-coding RNA from Physella acuta, 306 nucleotides. RefSeq lists it as uncharacterized. NCBI's taxonomy places the organism in Eukaryota, Metazoa, Mollusca, Gastropoda, Physidae. The record is from RefSeq and is a predicted model, not a curated record.
AGGUUUUCUAUGCGCCACAGUCGAAUCUGGAUCCCUGCUUUCUUACUUCACCGUGAACGAUCAAGCUAAGGAGGUCAGUGUUAAGAUAGACGAUGAUCUGAUAUUUAAAGCCGAGAUGGUAGGGGAGGCUAUCAACCCACACUGGACAAUACAAGGCAGGACGGCAGGUUACGACGCUCUACAGGGUAUCAAAAUCUUGUCCAAAACAAUGUUUCUCAAAAAACCCGCCAGCUGUUUAUUUAACGACAUCUUUGAUUGUACAGCGAGUUUAGAAGGACGUAACGAAACGCUCAGCGUCAAAAUCAG